UACGGAGGGGGCUAGCGUUGUCCGAAGUUACUGGGCGUAAAGCGCGCGUAGGCGGGUUGGUAAGUCCGCUGUGAAAGCCCGGAGCUCAACUCCGGAGGGUCGGUGGAUACUGCCAGUCUUGAAGGUGCUAGGGGGAGAUGGAAUUACCGGUGUAGCGGUGAAAUGCGUAGAUAUCGGUAGGAACACCUGCGGUGUAGACGGCUUUCUGGACCAUUGCUGACGCUGAGAUACGAAAGCGUGGGUAGCAAACAGG
This 253-nucleotide ribosomal RNA is filed under the name uncultured bacterium. Its description in RNAcentral is "partial 16S ribosomal RNA". It matches the Rfam family "Bacterial small subunit ribosomal RNA", at positions 524 to 776 of the family's 1533-position model. The record is from RNAcentral.